Molecule: transfer RNA, 90 nt
Filed under: Anaerobiospirillum sp.
Lineage: Bacteria; Pseudomonadati; Pseudomonadota; Gammaproteobacteria; Aeromonadales; Succinivibrionaceae
Also listed under: 1 other name
Description: tRNA-Ser
Rfam family: tRNA
About the family: Transfer RNA (tRNA) molecules are approximately 80 nucleotides in length. Their secondary structure includes four short double-helical elements and three loops (D, anti-codon, and T loops). Further hydrogen bonds mediate the characteristic L-shaped molecular structure. tRNAs have two regions of fundamental functional importance: the anti-codon, which is responsible for specific mRNA codon recognition, and the 3' end, to which the tRNAs corresponding amino acid is attached (by aminoacyl-tRNA synthetases). tRNAs cope with the degeneracy of the genetic code in two manners: having more than one tRNA (with a specific anti-codon) for a particular amino acid; and 'wobble' base-pairing, i.e. permitting non-standard base-pairing at the 3rd anti-codon position.
Source: RNAcentral
GGUGAGAUGCCCGAGUGGCUGAAGGGGCCCGCCUGGAAAGCGUGUAUACGGAUUACCGUAUCGGGGGUUCGAAUCCCCCUCUCACCGCCA